UACGGAGGGGGUUAGCGUUGUUCGGAAUUACUGGGCGUAAAGCGCGCGUAGGCGGACCAGAAAGUUGGGGGUGAAAUCCCGGGGCUCAACCCCGGAACGGCCUCCAAAACUCCUGGUCUUGAGUUCGAGAGAGGUGAGUGGAAUUCCGAGUGUAGAGGUGAAAUUUGUAGAUAUUCGGAGGAACACCAGUGGCGAAGGCGGCUCACUGGCUCGAUACUGACGCUGAGGUGCGAAAGUGUGGGGAGCAAACAGG
Molecule: ribosomal RNA, 253 nt
Filed under: uncultured bacterium
Lineage: Bacteria
Description: partial 16S ribosomal RNA
Rfam family: Bacterial small subunit ribosomal RNA
Source: RNAcentral